Molecule: long non-coding RNA, 2456 nt
Organism: Haplochromis burtoni (Burton's mouthbrooder)
Lineage: Eukaryota; Metazoa; Chordata; Actinopteri; Cichliformes; Cichlidae
Exons: 6
Source: RefSeq, a predicted model, not a curated record
CCCCAACAAUGCCCAGGACAAGGUAGUCCCAGGAGGCUGGCUCACCUCCAGAUCCUCCAAGUACCAAAUUUGAACUCUCCUUUGAGAAGGGUCUUAUGGCACAUUUGCAAAAUGUGUCAGUAUGGCUGACAGAAAGGCUGUAGCCAUUAUGAAAAACGAGAACCCAAAGACCCAUUGGAAAACCAAGAGCUCACUGCCAUGUGAAAACAUAACGCCUGUAACUCCAACAAACCAAAUAUAUUCCUGAGUUUGAAUAUCUUUAAAAAGUCUUUUUGACUUCAUGAAAGGAAUAAAUUUCAAACUGCUCAAUUAAAAGGCAAUUCGUCCCAUCGUCGUGCAGACUGGAAUAGUGCUUAAUCACCUCAAGUCUCUUGGAACAAUACACGCAGACCUGAAAUUAUAAAAUGUAAUGUUGGUGAAAUAUCACCAAGAGCCGUACUGAAUAAAAUUAUUGACUUUGACCUCGCCUAUGACACCUCAGCUGCCAAAGUGGGGCUCUUACAUUCAGACCUGUCCGUACUGGUCUCCGGAGAUUAUUCUGGGGCUUCCAUCUACAAAAGCCAUAGAUGUAUGGUCCCUGGGCUGUUUCCUUUAACGGAAUAAGUUACAUGCAAUCAAAAUGUCGUUUAAUAGAGUUUAUGUUGUUAACCUUGACCUUGACCUUUAUGUGUAGUUGUAAGUUAGUGAGGUGAUAUAAUGAAUUGAGUGAUGUAAAUUUGAUGUAUAUGCUAUAUGUGAGCAGGAGAAAUUUGUUUCCUUUGAUCUUAUGGUAUUAAUAUUGCUGGUUUUGUUUGCUCCUAGCUCUUACGGUGUCUUCACUGAAUGUUUCAAUAAAAACAUUUCCAAUAAAACCUCUGUGAAGCAUCAGUAUAAGAGACCAUCAUUCAGCCAGGGAUGCUACAAUGCUGAGAUACAUGAUGGAGACUCAAGGACAACCCCCAAAGAAAAUUUCAGACUGUCUUUUCAGACAUCUGAACUGUAUUUCCAAGAGUCUGGUAUUCAGUUCGUGGAGAAAAGAUGAAUAAAUCUCUGGAUGACCUCUUACAUUGUUAAGUCCUGCUAUGAGCACAUUAACAGCUUUAAAAUAAAGAAGACAGGGAUGUCAGACAGCGGGACAGAAGGGUGUGGGUCUCUGCACCAGCCCACCUCUGACACCAGACAACCUGCCCAACAGAACUCCCACCCUUGGCCUCCACCCUUCUUCUCAGAGGAGCAGCCUGAACUUCAUCAGGCCCAGUCACUGUAAAACUGCUCACACAUUUCCAAUAUUUCCAAUCAAAUCACACUUGAAAAGAAAACAUCUGGAAGAAGAUAAAAAGGAUACGAGUGACCCAGAUCUUAAAAAAAAAAACAUACCAACGUGAAAGGUCAGAUCAUGACCAGAAGAAAUACCAUCAUUCUACGGGUUCAUCUUGCUCAACCAGUGGCUACAGGACACAGAAUUCCAUCUUGGCAAGUAAGAGGAAGCCAGACCAAAACUGCUUUGACAGGUCAAAUGAGAGGGCCAGAGCAAACUACGAAGAUGGCAGGAGCCACAUGUCCGUUAACACCUUCAAUCACAGUCGGACUGAGGACCACCGCUGCAGAGAAGCAAAAGAAGGGCAAGCAGAGUAACACUUGAUUUUUCUUACAUGAUGUGAGUGCCUCACUUAAUCUCACUUAAACAAAUUUAAAACUUUUGGCUAUUGAAAAACAGACUGUUAAAAUUCAUCUCAGCAGUAAUGAGGCCACUAAAACUAAUAUUGAAUCAGUGUGUAAUGUCACUAACAUUGUCAGACUCUAUAGGUUUCCCUGGUCCCUUUCUCAAUCUUGUAUUUCAGUGAUUCUACCACUGCACAUCAUUAAUGUCUUUCUUCUCUUUCCACUAGUUAUUUCUCAUCUCUAUACUCUCCUUUCUCUAUGCUUUCACUUGAUUGUCAGGGAUUUCUCCACCUUAUGGAGGGUUUUCAGCUUACAGUAUAAAGUUCCUUCAGGCGAGUUUUGUUGUGAAUUGGCAUCACAGAAAAAUUGAAAUGAUCAGUUUCAUUUCUUGAAAUAAAAAUAAAGUUGUCUACAUUAAAAAGCAAACAGUGUCCCUGUUAUUGUAAUAGUCAUCUAAAUAAGUUAGAAAUGAUAACAGCCAGACAACCAAGUAAUAUGCAUUAUAUAUGGUUAAAAUACAUUAAAUGCAGUAAGUAUACUUGUUUCAUAUAAAUAUAGUCUAUAUUGGUGGAUUUUUUGCUGCCGUCACUUCCAAAACUUUCCCCUCUCGCUAAAUAACCAAAUCCCACGUGUUGCCAAAUCAUUUUGUUUUUAUUGGUCGACAUGAUUCACUUUUACACCAAUAGGAAAGCCGUGGCAUUUUUUUAAAAAUUCGCUUUUCUUUUUUGUGCUGUCCUUGGAAAACACUAUUUUUACAGUUUCUUCUGCGCUAAACAUGACAAUAGUAUUCAGAAAAAAGCAUUGUGUAUAUAUUU